GACGUAGGUGGCGAGCGUUGUUCGGAAUCACUGGGCAUAAAGCGCGCGUAGGCGGCCCCAUAAGUCAGGUGUGAAAGCCCUCGGCUCAACCGAGGAACUGCGCCUGAUACUGCGGGGCUUGAGGUCCGGAGGGGAGAGUGGAAUUCCCGGUGGAGCGGUGAAAUGCGUAGAGAUCGGGAAGAACGCCGGCGGCGAAAGCGACUCUCUGGUCGGAAUCUGACGCUGAGGCGCGAAAGCUAGGGGAGCAAACGGG
RNAcentral lists this ribosomal RNA (253 nucleotides) under uncultured bacterium. Its description in RNAcentral is "partial 16S ribosomal RNA". It matches the Rfam family "Bacterial small subunit ribosomal RNA", at positions 524 to 776 of the family's 1533-position model. The record is from RNAcentral.